UGAGGAAUAUUGGUCAAUGGCCGGGAGGCUGAACCAGCCAAGUCGCGUGAGGGAAGACGGUCCUAUGGAUUGUAAACCUCUUUUGUCGGGGAGCAAAAGGCGUCACGUGUGACGCUCCGAGAGUACCCGAAGAAAAAGCAUCGGCUAACUCCGUGCCAGCAGCCGCGGUAAUACGGAGGAUGCGAGCGUUAUCCGGAUUUAUUGGGUUUAAAGGGUGCGUAGGGCGGAUACUUUUAAGUCGAGCAGGUAAAAUUGAGAGGCUCAACCUCUUCCCGCCAGUUGAAACUGGGAGUCUUGAGUGGGCGAGAAGUAUGCGGAAUGCGUGGUGUAGCGGUGAAAUGCAUAGAUAUCACGCAGAACUCCGAUUGCGAAGGCAGCAUACCGGCGCCCAACUGACGCUGAAGCACGAAAGCGUGGGUAUCGAACAGGAUUAGAUACC
This 439-nucleotide ribosomal RNA is filed under the name uncultured bacterium. RNAcentral describes it as "bacterial SSU rRNA". It matches the Rfam family "Bacterial small subunit ribosomal RNA", at positions 355 to 786 of the family's 1533-position model. The record is from RNAcentral.